This 429-nucleotide ribosomal RNA is filed under the name bacterium. RNAcentral describes it as "partial 16S ribosomal RNA". It matches the Rfam family "Bacterial small subunit ribosomal RNA", at positions 355 to 776 of the family's 1533-position model. The record is from RNAcentral.
UAGGGAAUCUUCCACAAUGGACGCAAGUCUGAUGGAGCAACGCCGCGUGAGUGAAGAAGGUUUUCGGAUCGUAAAGCUCUGUUGUUGGUGAAGAAGGAUAGAGGCAGUAACUGGUCUUUAUUUGACGGUAAUCAACCAGAAAGUCACGGCUAACUACGUGCCAGCAGCCGCGGUAAUACGUAGGUGGCAAGCGUUGUCCGGAUUGAUUGGGCGUAAAGCGAGGGCAGGCGGAAUGAUAAGUCUGAUGUGAAAGCCCACGGCUCAACCGUGGAACUGCAUCGGAAACUGUCAUUCUUGAGUGCAGAAGAGGAGAGGGGAAUUCCAUGUGUAGCGGUGGAAUGCGUAGAUAUAUGGAAGAACACCAGUGGCGAAGGCGGCUCUCUGGUCUGCAACUGACGCUGAGGCUCGAAAGCAUGGGUAGCGAACAGG